RNAcentral lists this ribosomal RNA (253 nucleotides) under uncultured bacterium. RNAcentral's name for it is "partial 16S ribosomal RNA". It matches the Rfam family "Bacterial small subunit ribosomal RNA", at positions 524 to 776 of the family's 1533-position model. The record is from RNAcentral.
UACGUAGGGUGCAAGCGUUGUCCGGAAUUAUUGGGCGUAAAGAGCUCGUAGGCGGUUUGUCGCGUCUGCUGUGAAAACUCGGGGCUCAACCCCGGGCCUGCAGUGGGUACGGGCAGACUAGAGUGCGGUAGGGGAGACUGGAAUUCCUGGUGUAGCGGUGAAAUGCGCAGAUAUCAGGAGGAACACCGGUGGCGAAGGCGGGUCUCUGGGCCAUAACUGACGCUGAGGAGCGAAAGCGUGGGGAGCGAACAGG